ACGUACACUCCUUUUAUCACAGGUGGAACUCCAGGAAUUUGCUCGAUACGCUCAUUUUGCUCCGUGAGUUGUUUAUGCAAGGUUAGUACUAAAUUUUGAAGAUGAGAAUUACCUGAAUUACCUGGUUCUUCUUCUUGUGAGUCACUGGGGGUUGGUCCAUUACCAUAAUUAACUAGACCAGAUCGGAGGUUUUCAACGUGUUGUUAUUAGGCGUUGUUGGCGCAACAAGCAAUCAAUUAACUAAAGC
RNAcentral lists this long non-coding RNA (247 nucleotides) under Nicotiana benthamiana. Its description in RNAcentral is "long non-coding RNA (NBEN_LNC018858)". Lineage: Eukaryota; Viridiplantae; Streptophyta; Magnoliopsida; Solanales; Solanaceae. The record is from RNAcentral.